UGGCGUAAACAAAGGGAAGCGAGACGGUGACGUUAAGCAAAUCCCAGAAAUAACGUCCCAGUUCGGAUUGUAGUCUGCAACCCGACUACAUGAAGCUGGAAUCGCUAGUAAUCGCGAAUCAGAAUGUCGCGGUGAAUACGUUCCCGGGUCUUGUACACACCGCCCGUCACACCAUGGGAGUCGGAAAUGCCCGAAGUCAGUGACCCAACCGUAAGGAGGGAGCUGCCGAAGGUGGAGCCGGUAACUGGGGUGAAGUCGUAACAAGGUACC
RNAcentral lists this ribosomal RNA (270 nucleotides) under uncultured bacterium. RNAcentral's name for it is "partial 16S ribosomal RNA". It matches the Rfam family "Bacterial small subunit ribosomal RNA", at positions 1231 to 1500 of the family's 1533-position model. The record is from RNAcentral.